GCCUUCCACUGUAGACAGCAGGUGCUCUUAGAGCUUAAUAUCCCUGCCGAGGUUGGAAAGAUAGCCUUAAGUUAUAUUGGGCCUUCUUAACCUCUGCAGUCAAAGCGGGGGUUUUUCUAUUA
RNAcentral lists this small RNA (122 nucleotides) under Desulfitobacterium hafniense. RNAcentral's name for it is "Ribosomal protein L10 leader". It matches the Rfam family "Ribosomal protein L10 leader", at positions 18 to 134 of the family's 138-position model. From Rfam's summary of the family: This family is a putative r-protein leader autoregulatory structure found in B. subtilis and other low-GC Gram-positive bacteria. It is located in the 5' untranslated regions of mRNAs encoding ribosomal proteins L10 and L12 (rplJ-rplL). The record is from RNAcentral. Lineage: Bacteria; Bacillati; Bacillota; Clostridia; Eubacteriales; Desulfitobacteriaceae.